UUAAGCGACUAAGCGUACACGGUGGAUGCCCUGGCAGUCAGAGGCGAUGAAGGACGUGCUAAUCUGCGAUAAGCGUCGGUGAGGUGAUAUGAACCGUUAUAACCGGCGAUUUCCGAAUGGGGAAACCCAGUGUGUUUCGACACACUAUCAUUAACUGAAUCCAUAGGUUAAUGAGGCGAACCGGGGGAACUGAAACAUCUAAGUACCCCGAGGAAAAGAAAUCAACCGAGAUUCCCCCAGUAGCGGCGAGCGAACGGGGAGGAGCCCAGAGCCUGAAUCAGUGUGUGUGUUAGUGGAAGCGUCUGGAAAGGCGCGCGAUACAGGGUGACAGCCCCGUACACAAAAAUGCACAUACUGUGAGCUCGAUGAGUAGGGCGGGACACGUGGUAUCCUGUCUGAAUAUGGGGGGACCAUCCUCCAAGGCUAAAUACUCCUGACUGACCGAUAGUGAACCAGUACCGUGAGGGAAAGGCGAAAAGAACCCCGGCGAGGGGAGUGAAAAAGAACCUGAAACCGUGUACGUACAAGCAGUGGGAGCCUCUUAAUGGGGUGACUGCGUACCUUUUGUAUAAUGGGUCAGCGACUUAUAUUCUGUAGCAAGGUUAACCGAAUAGGGGAGCCGAAGGGAAACCGAGUCUUAACUGGGCGUUAAGUUGCAGGGUAUAGACCCGAAACCCGGUGAUCUAGCCAUGGGCAGGUUGAAGGUUGGGUAACACUAACUGGAGGACCGAACCGACUAAUGUUGAAAAAUUAGCGGAUGACUUGUGGCUGGGGGUGAAAGGCCAAUCAAACCGGGAGAUAGCUGGUUCUCCCCGAAAGCUAUUUAGGUAGCGCCUCGUGAAUUCAUCUCCGGGGGUAGAGCACUGUUUCGGCAAGGGGGUCAUCCCGACUUACCAACCCGAUGCAAACUGCGAAUACCGGAGAAUGUUAUCACGGGAGACACACGGCGGGUGCUAACGUCCGUCGUGAAGAGGGAAACAACCCAGACCGCCAGCUAAGGUCCUAAAGUCAUGGUUAAGUGGGAAACGAUGUGGGAAGGCCCAGACAGCCAGGAUGUUGGCUUAGAAGCAGCCAUCAUUUAAAGAAAGCGUAAUAGCUCACUGGUCGAGUCGGCCUGCGCGGAAGAUGUAACGGGGCUAAACCAUGCACCGAAGCUGCGGCAGCGACACUAUGUGUUGUUGGGUAGGGGAGCGUUCUGUAAGCCUGCGAAGGUGUGCUGUGAGGCAUGCUGGAGGUAUCAGAAGUGCGAAUGCUGACAUAAGUAACGAUAAAGCGGGUGAAAAGCCCGCUCGCCGGAAGACCAAGGGUUCCUGUCCAACGUUAAUCGGGGCAGGGUGAGUCGACCCCUAAGGCGAGGCCGAAAGGCGUAGUCGAUGGGAAACAGGUUAAUAUUCCUGUACUUGGUGUUACUGCGAAGGGGGGACGGAGAAGGCUAUGUUGGCCGGGCGACGGUUGUCCCGGUUUAAGCGUGUAGGCUGGUUUUCCAGGCAAAUCCGGAAAACCAAGGCUGAGGCGUGAUGACGAGGCACUACGGUGCUGAAGCGACAAAUGCCCUGCUUCCAGGAAAAGCCUCUAAGCAUCAGGUAACAUCAAAUCGUACCCCAAACCGACACAGGUGGUCAGGUAGAGAAUACCAAGGCGCUUGAGAGAACUCGGGUGAAGGAACUAGGCAAAAUGGUGCCGUAACUUCGGGAGAAGGCACGCUGAUAUGUAGGUGAAGCGACUUGCUCGUGGAGCUGAAAUCAGUCGAAGAUACCAGCUGGCUGCAACUGUUUAUUAAAAACACAGCACUGUGCAAACACGAAAGUGGACGUAUACGGUGUGACGCCUGCCCGGUGCCGGAAGGUUAAUUGAUGGGGUUAGCGGUAACGCGAAGCUCUUGAUCGAAGCCCCGGUAAACGGCGGCCGUAACUAUAACGGUCCUAAGGUAGCGAAAUUCCUUGUCGGGUAAGUUCCGACCUGCACGAAUGGCGUAAUGAUGGCCAGGCUGUCUCCACCCGAGACUCAGUGAAAUUGAACUCGCUGUGAAGAUGCAGUGUACCCGCGGCAAGACGGAAAGACCCCGUGAACCUUUACUAUAGCUUGACACUGAACAUUGAGCCUUGAUGUGUAGGAUAGGUGGGAGGCUUUGAAGUGUGGACGCCAGUCUGCAUGGAGCCGACCUUGAAAUACCACCCUUUAAUGUUUGAUGUUCUAACGUUGGCCCGUAAUCCGGGUUGCGGACAGUGUCUGGUGGGUAGUUUGACUGGGGCGGUCUCCUCCUAAAGAGUAACGGAGGAGCACGAAGGUUGGCUAAUCCUGGUCGGACAUCAGGAGGUUAGUGCAAUGGCAUAAGCCAGCUUGACUGCGAGCGUGACGGCGCGAGCAGGUGCGAAAGCAGGUCAUAGUGAUCCGGUGGUUCUGAAUGGAAGGGCCAUCGCUCAACGGAUAAAAGGUACUCCGGGGAUAACAGGCUGAUACCGCCCAAGAGUUCAUAUCGACGGCGGUGUUUGGCACCUCGAUGUCGGCUCAUCACAUCCUGGGGCUGAAGUAGGUCCCAAGGGUAUGGCUGUUCGCCAUUUAAAGUGGUACGCGAGCUGGGUUUAGAACGUCGUGAGACAGUUCGGUCCCUAUCUGCCGUGGGCGCUGGAGAACUGAGGGGGGCUGCUCCUAGUACGAGAGGACCGGAGUGGACGCAUCACUGGUGUUCGGGUUGUCAUGCCAAUGGCACUGCCCGGUAGCUAAAUGCGGAAGAGAUAAGUGCUGAAAGCAUCUAAGCACGAAACUUGCCCCGAGAUGAGUUCUCCCUGAGACUUAGAGUCUCCUGAAGGAACGUUGAAGACGACGACGUUGAUAGGCCGGGUGUGUAAGCGCAGCGAUGCGUUGAGCUAACCGGUACUAAUGAACCGUGAGGCUUAACCUU
This 2902-nucleotide ribosomal RNA is filed under the name Escherichia coli HVH 193 (4-3331423). Its description in RNAcentral is "bacterial LSU rRNA". It matches the Rfam family "Bacterial large subunit ribosomal RNA". Lineage: Bacteria; Pseudomonadati; Pseudomonadota; Gammaproteobacteria; Enterobacterales; Enterobacteriaceae. The record is from RNAcentral.